AUUUGGUUUAAAUCUGACCCUUGUCCUCCUAGAAAGUAGAAGAUACGAUAAAGAUUUUGGCUUUGGGGACCAGCUCUCGGGAAGAAAGGACUGCAGGAUGGAGGAGGGUUUUGACUUGCCCUGGUGUGUGUGUGUAAACUGGGAUCCGGAGUUUGACAGCAGAGGAGAGACUUCUGGUGUGAAGGGCAGAGCGAUCCUGAUCUUACAGUUCUCAAAGAGCAAGCAAAUGUCCUCUUUCCAAGCCUCACAUUUAGACUGACUGCUGGCAGAUAGAAAACUUCUUGAAGGAGGCCUCGGCUUUGAAGGUUUGUUGUAAGACCGUAACACCUAACUCAGGGGUGGAAGUGGGUGCUCUGCCUUAGCCUUCCCAUGGUUACACCAAGAGGAUCUGGACGACCACUGCUCCUGAGAGGCCAAUGUUUCUACUUCGUGGCUUUAACCAGUGUGCUCUGGCUGCCAUCUGCACAGACCCGAGAGUCUUUUCUUCCACAGAGGUUUCACCUUCAACUGCCUACAGCAUUUGGUCUCUUCUGGAGGAAUUUAAGAGGUAUCUCUUAUUUUUAUAAUAAUAAUAUUAUUACAGGGAAUUCCCCUCACGGUGCAGUGGAAAUGAAUCUGACUAGGAACCAUGAGGUUACGGGUUUGAUCCCUGGCCUCGCUCAGUGGGUUAAGGAUCUGGUGUUGCCGUGA
This 690-nucleotide long non-coding RNA is filed under the name Sus scrofa (pig). RNAcentral's name for it is "lncRNA (ENSSSCG00070017078.1)". Lineage: Eukaryota; Metazoa; Chordata; Mammalia; Artiodactyla; Suidae. The record is from RNAcentral.